UACGGGGGGGGUAAGCGUUGUUCGGAAUUACUGGGCGUAAAGGGCUCGUAGGCGGCCAACUAAGUCAUACGUGAAAUCCCUCAGCUUAACUGGGGAACUGCGUGUGAUACUGGAUGGCUUGGAUUUGGGAGAGGGAUGCGGAAUUCCAGGUGUAGCGGUGAAAUGCGUAGAUAUCAGGAGGAACACCAAUAGCGAAGGCAGCUCGCUGGGACGUUACUGACACUGAGGCGCGAAAGCGUGGGGAGCGAACAGG
This 253-nucleotide ribosomal RNA is filed under the name uncultured bacterium. Its description in RNAcentral is "partial 16S ribosomal RNA". It matches the Rfam family "Bacterial small subunit ribosomal RNA", at positions 524 to 776 of the family's 1533-position model. The record is from RNAcentral.